Molecule: ribosomal RNA, 494 nt
Filed under: uncultured bacterium
Lineage: Bacteria
Description: partial 16S ribosomal RNA
Rfam family: Bacterial small subunit ribosomal RNA
Source: RNAcentral
GACGAACGCUGGCGGCGUGCUUAACACAUGCAAGUCGAACGGAAAGGCCUGCUUUCCCUUGUGGAUUGCGGGUGCUCGAGUGGCGAACGGGUGAGUAACACGUGAGUGAUCUGCCCCCAACUUGGGUAUAAGCCUGGGAAACUGGGUCUAAUUCCCGAUAGGACUGCAGGGUGGUGCCUGUGGUGGAAAACGAUUUUCUAGUGGUUGUGGAUGAGCUCGCGGCCUAUCAGCUUGUUGGUGGGGUAAUGGCCUACCAAGGCGGCGACGGGUAGCCGGCCUGAGAGGGUGGACGGCCACAUUGGGACUGAGAUACGGCCCAGACUCCUACGGGAGGCAGCAGUGGGGAAUAUUGCACAAUGGGCGGAAGCCUGAUGCAGCGACGCCGCGUGGGGGAUGACGGCCUUCGGGUUGUAAACUCCUUUCGACCGCGAGGAAGCCACCUGGUUGGAAGGGUGGUGACGGUAGUGGUAGAAGAAGCACCGGCUAACUACGUG